UGCAGGGAAAGCUACAGCUUAUUAGCCGGUGUGGACAUAACUGAUGAUUGACAUUCACAUUCGACCCUUGAGCUCUUCAGAGAAGGACAAGAGUAUAUAAAACAAUCAGCUACCUGGAGUUUAGAUUCCUGGCCUCAGCUGGGACUCAGACAUUAACUAUGCCAUCCAGUGGAAAAAGAAACCACGCUCAGUAAAUUCUACAGCUUUAAAUAUCGUAUUCCCCGAAGGGAUUAUGGUGGACACAGGUUCAGGCUCCAGAAAUAAAGCCUCAGGACGGCCACGGAGGAGACUCAGCCUGGUGACAAUCCCUGACAGUUUUGCCCAGAGCACUUUCUUCUCUGGGAUAAGCUCUCCCUCUGAGCCCGGGAAGGACGGCCCGUCUGCUUUUGCUCAUCAGGCUUUACCUGAGGUCUCUUCCUGCCCUUCUCAGCUCCCAGUCUGGAUGCCGUCCUCCACUGAGACUCUGAGGCCAGAAUCGAGUCGUCAGGCAGCUGACCUGUCGCCUCAGUUUCCUCAUCUGGAGAAUGGGUCUGACUGAUUUACAGCAAGAACAAGAACCCUUCAGGGGUUUUGUGAGGGAACGUGAGUUAAUACGAGUGUGUUCCAUUUAUCAUGCUGCUUGGUAUCUUAUGGACGCUCCAUUAGUGAACCGGUACAGUCUCAGGAUUUCUUGCCUCAUAAUUUAAACUUUAGCAACAAUAGAAACACUUGUCUGCUCCUACACACACGUGCACACGCGCGCGCGUAUGCACACGCUCGGCUCUGCCUUUUCUGGCUUUUCCCUCUGUGCAGCUGCUUGUCCCCUAUUUCCCUAAGCCCCGUCGUGCAUUACGAGCCGGCUCAGGACCCUUCCCUACAAGGACCCUCCAUCUGAACUGGGCCAGGAACCCGUGUGGGCUCCAGAAACCACCGCGUCUGGUCUGCUGGGGCCUUGCUCACGCUUGUCGAGGUUAUCCAUCCCCCUGGAAUCCUGGGACUUGGAAAGGGCCGGGGCGGCAGGAUCCUGACGAAGCUGGGGUCCCCCCCACCCCCGCUGGCCCGAAACCGGCCGCAGGUCCCCGCAGGCCCCGAAGGCGAGGUGCCCCGCGCUCCCACAGAAGGGCCGGCUUUCCUGAUUUGCACAGAGAGCAGGAACGAGUGCGGGCGUGGGGUGGCGGCAGAAGGGCCAGACCCUCGGGUCACGUCGGAUUUAAGGACGCGGCCCAGUAAGCGGAGGCGGCGGGCCGGGUGUUUCGUUCGUCUCGGAGGUCAGACAGGGCGUUGGGUUGGUUAGUUUGGCGAAAACGUGGCCCUGACGCGGUGAGUAUGAAAUGAAGCGAAGCGCCCGCGCGCCCUGGAGGAAGGGAGCCGGGGCCGAGGGAGCCUGCGUGUUGUUAGGGUGGCUUUCCGGCUGAGACCUGCUCCCCGGGGGGGAGCCUGCGUGUUGUUAGGGUGGCUUUCCGGCUGAGACCUGCUCCCCGGGGGGGUCCAGAGGACACACCUCUCUCCGCGAGUGCGGGAAGCGAACCCGCGGGGGGAGCCCUGCGUCCUGGGCGAGCUGGGACCACCCUUCCCCGGAGGCGGGAGUAGCUGGGGCCCGAGGGGCUGGGGCCCGGGGCGCGGAGCUGCGACAGGUGAGGCGGGCGGGGCGACCGUGGCGAAGGAGGGCCAAGCAGGCUCGGGACGGUCCGCGCGCAGAGACCCGGGGCGCCGGCGGGCCGUCCCGGAGCCCCUGGAGGGGAAACGGGGGACCCCACGGGCUUCUUGCUCGAUCUGCACGGGCGGAAAAGCUUGAGGUCGAGGGAACAAAGUCUAAGCGGAAUGAUGAACACAGAGUCACGGCCCCUCAGUCAGUUCUCAGACCCGGAGCCCCUUGAAUGGAGGGGAGGCCCGGUCCCUUUAAGGAAGGACCCUGGUCCACUGCAGGUAACGUACAGUUCCCCUCUCUCCCAGCCCUGCGAGGAGGACACGGCCCUUUACCAGCGUGACCGUGCGCUGGGGAAAGGGGAAGAAUCAGACAUCUGGGGACUCGUGGACGCCGGCUCGGAACCGAGGCUCAUUCGAGGAGACCCCAGACGCGCCGCGGCCGCCAGUCAGGGUAGGGGCUUCUGGAGGGCAGGUGGUCAGUGGGCUUUAGCUCGGGUCCCUCUCACAGUGGGCCCUGGGCCCCCAGACCCGUCCUGUGGUUAUCAGCCCGGGCCUGGGAUGCGCCCCCGGAAGAGACGCUCUCAGCCGCCGGCAGAGUCCCCAGCUGGGCUCAUCCAGCGCAAUGCCGUGCCCGUCACGGGUUCUCAAAAAAUUGUGGGACAGAAGAGCGCCAACGGGGCUGUGAUGUUUUUGAAACGAUGGCGCGCACGGGGGCCCGUCGUCGCCCCUGAGUUUUGCUUGUGGCUGGCGGCUCAGCGCUGUCUGAGUGUCUGUCCUGGCUGCUGUCCUGCCUCGUCUCGCCUGAUCUGGGCGCCACCCUCGGCGAGGCAUCCGUGGGGCCUCAGCGGCUCGGCUCCACGGAGAGGUGGGCUUCCUUCCAGAAGCUGCAGUUGCCACAGCUGCUGCCCUACCCUCACGUCUAACCCUCUCAUUCAUGUUUUUUGGAUUCUUCACCGUGUCCCCAAACCACCCCUGUUAAAUUAGGUCAUCUUAGAACAUUUGCUGCUCUUCUUCUCAACUACUUGGGAAGAAAAGAUUCUGAGGCUAUGACUUCACUCGGGUUCCAUGUCCUCUGUUUACUGCUCCCUCUAUCUUGAUGUGGGGACGUCACCCCAUAUUUUUAGGACACAGUCUACACAACAGUGACACGUCAUUUUGAACUCCUGUGCGGUGGCUCGGGGCUGAGACUGAAUUCUCCUGUUUCAUCGUAAGGCCUGGCCAAGAGUAAACAGAAACUUUAAACUGAAAGACGGCAGAAUUUAGACCUCAAGAUAUGUACAAGGUGGGGAAACUCACCUUCCACGCCAGUCACAUUGGACGAAGG
Long non-coding RNA from Physeter macrocephalus (sperm whale), 2950 nucleotides. RefSeq lists it as uncharacterized. The record is from RefSeq and is a predicted model, not a curated record. The transcript is spliced from 5 exons. NCBI's taxonomy places the organism in Eukaryota, Metazoa, Chordata, Mammalia, Artiodactyla, Physeteridae.